RNAcentral lists this ribosomal RNA (516 nucleotides) under uncultured Alphaproteobacteria bacterium. Its description in RNAcentral is "bacterial SSU rRNA". It matches the Rfam family "Bacterial small subunit ribosomal RNA", at positions 402 to 917 of the family's 1533-position model. RNAcentral also lists the same sequence under 1 other name. The record is from RNAcentral. Lineage: Bacteria; Pseudomonadati; Pseudomonadota; Alphaproteobacteria.
UGAGGGAUGAAGGCCUUCGGGUUGUAAACCUCUUUCASUAGGGAAGAAGCCUGUCUUUUGGGUGGGUGACGGUACCUGCAGAAGAAGCGCCGGCUAACUACGUGCCAGCAGCCGCGGUAAUACGUAGGGCGCAAGCGUUAUCCGGAAUUAUUGGGCGUAAAGAGCUCGUAGGCGGUUUGUCGCGUCUGCCGUGAAAGUCCGGGGCUUAACUCCGGAUCUGCGGUGGGUACGGGCAGACUAGAGUGCAGUAGGGGAGACUGGAAUUCCUGGUGUAGCGGUGAAAUGCGCAGAUAUCAGGAGGAACACCGAUGGCGAAGGCAGGUCUCUGGGCUGUAACUGACGCUGAGGAGCGAAAGCAUGGGGAGCGAACAGGAUUAGAUACCCUGGUAGUCCAURCCGUAAACGUUGGGCACUAGGUGUGGGGGACAUUCCACGUUUUCCGCGCCGUAGCUAACGCAUUAAGUGCCCCGCCUGGGGAGUACGGCCGCAAGGCUAAAACUCAAAGGAAUUGACGGA